Molecule: unclassified non-coding RNA, 374 nt
Filed under: uncultured bacterium
Lineage: Bacteria
Description: contains 16S-23S intergenic spacer region
Source: RNAcentral
UCCGAUUCGUCACCGGCAGUCUCCCAUGAGUCCCCGUCUUUCAUGCUGGCAACAUAGGGCGAGGGUUGCGCUCGUUGCGGGACUUAACCCAACAUCUCACGACACGAGCUGACGACAGCCAUGCACCACCUGUACACCGACAAAAAGGGGCCUCAUCUCUGAGGCUUUCCGGCGUAUGUCAAACCCAGGUAAGGUUCUUCGCGUUGCAUCGAAUUAAUCCGCAUGCUCCACCGCUUGUGCGGGCCCCCGUCAAUUCCUUUGAGUUUCAGCCUUGCGGCCGUACUCCCCAGGCGGGGCACUUACUGCGUUAGCGACGGCACCGGGAGGGUCGCUCCCCCCGACGCCUAGUGCCCAUCGUUUACGGCGUGGACUAC